ACGGCUCAGUAACACGUAGGUAACCUACCCUUCGGACGGGCACAACCCCGGGAAACUGGGGCUAAUUCCCGAUAGGUACCCCCUUCUGGAAUGUGGGGAUAUCCAAAGCUCCGGCGCCGAAGGAUGGGCCUGCGGCCGAUUAGGUUGUUGGCGGGGUAACAGCCCACCAAGCCGACGAUCGGUACGGGCAGUGAGAGCUGUAGCCCGGAGAUGGGGACUGAGACAAGGCCCCAGGCCCUACGGGGCGCAGCAGGCGCGAAACCUUCACAAUGCACGAAAGUGUGAUGAGGGUACUCCGAGUGCGCAUACAUUGUAUGUGCUUUUCUGCAGCGUAAAUAGUUGCAGGAAUAAGGGCUGGGCAAGACCGGUGCCAGCCGCCGCGGUAACACCGGCAGCCCUAGUGGUGGCCGCUUUUAUUGGGCCUAAAGCGUCCGUAGCCGGACAGGCGAGUCUUUGGGUAAAUCCUACGUCUUAAGCGUGGGAAUUCUAAAGAUACUACCUGUCUUGAGGCCGGGAGAGGCUGGAGGUACCCCUGGGGUAGGGGUAAAAUCCUAUAAUCCUGGGGGGACCACCGAUGGCGAAGGCAUCCAGCUGGAACGGGCCUGACGGUGAGGGACGAAACCCAGGGGAGCGAGCCGGAUUAGAUACCCGGGUAGUCCUGGGCGUAAAUGAUGUGGGCUUGGUGUGAGCGCAUCGACGAGGUGCGCUUGUGCCGUAGGGAAGCCGUUAAGCCCACCGCCUGGGGAGUACGGUCGCAAGGCUGAAACUUAAAGGAAUUGGCGGGGGAG
This 788-nucleotide ribosomal RNA is filed under the name uncultured euryarchaeote. RNAcentral describes it as "bacterial SSU rRNA". It matches the Rfam family "Archaeal small subunit ribosomal RNA", at positions 85 to 876 of the family's 1478-position model. The record is from RNAcentral. Lineage: Archaea; Methanobacteriati; Methanobacteriota.